CUGUAAUGUACCCUAAAGAAAAGACACAAGCAUGGCAAUUAAGUUUCGAUGGAAACAAAUUAACACAUGUAAAACUUGAGCUUCGAUGGCAAAAGACAUAAUUUGAUUGUCAUGAACUAUACAUUUUGGGGGUGUCCAUGAACUAUAGUUUCCUAGAAUUGCCAAGGAAAUCUAGUCCAUUAGCAUCUCAUCACCUGCAAAAAAGUGCCUACACAAAUAACUACACAAUGCUAAAUGUCGACAUCUACAAAAAUUUGCAAACAAAAAAAUUGUGGGAGCUAGUAAAAAAAUGGCAACAUCUACAAAGAAAUCGUCACGAUUUAUUGAGAAGAACAUCUAUAAAUUGCCAUGAAAAAAAAGUACUACUCAAAGCUUCAGGGACAUGGUAAAAAACAUAUGCCAUGACAAUGCAAAACAGUAUUUCGACAUGGCAACAUACUUUGUGUUUUCCAUGCAACAUACUAUGAUGCAAUGGUAAAAUAAUAUUUAAAUUGGGAUGGCAGCAAAAGUUGGGUUGACAUGGCAACAUAUUUUGUGUUUGCAUGGCAAAAAACAUAUUUUGACACGCCAUCAACUAUAAUCUCAAAAAAAGAUUGGCAUGCAGUAUUUGUCAAAUAGCAUCACAACAAAAAGUAAAACAGUUCUCUGCAAAUUCAUGAACGACUGAGAAAAAAUGAAUCACACAAAAUUUGCAACAUACGAACUGGGCUAAAUCACCAUCAGUGCUAAGCUAGUGACAUAAAACUGAACCUGUUCAGGAAGACUAUCUUCAACUGACGGCAUCCAAGCGGCCGGAGAAGAUGAUGAGGAUGUGCCCGUUGCCCAUGGGCAGCGUAUGGUCGCUGUGCUAGGAGAAGCCGAUGCCCUGGCGCAGGAUGGCGGAGCCUCCGGGCGGCCUCGCAUCGGACGAGGUCGGCGGGAGAAGCCGUCGCCGUGGAGGGCUUCGCGGCGCACGAUGGCGUCCUCGCCUCCGGGCGGCUGCGCAUCGGACGAGAUCGGCGGAAGAAGCUGUCGCCGUGGAGGGCGCCGCGCCGCAGGAUGCCGUUGUCGCCUCCGGGCGGCCGCGCAUCAGAUGAGGUCGGCGGGAGAAGCCGGCGCCGUGGCGGCCGCCGCGACUGGCUCAAGCCGCCCUCUUCCGGAUCUCCCACGUUCGUCGUCGUCCCGUGCUCGCCGCCGAAGGGUCCGGCCUCCCCUGCCUCGCCUGCCCGCCGGCGUCCCCAACCUCCAGCACGGGUGGGCGUUGACCUAGCGCCCGCCCCGCUCGCUGGCCUCAUCUCGUGCGCGUGGACGCAGGUGUCCUCGAGGCCCAGCUCCCGCCCCAGCCGCUCCGGCCCGCCUCCGCCGCGCGACGCCAUGAUUCGGCCGGCCGUCUUCUAAUCCGGCGAUGAAAAGGGAGAGUGGGGGAGUGGUGUCGAGUGGGAGGGGAAUGGAGC
Molecule: ribosomal RNA, 1433 nt
Filed under: Triticum aestivum (bread wheat)
Lineage: Eukaryota; Viridiplantae; Streptophyta; Magnoliopsida; Poales; Poaceae
Description: partial small subunit ribosomal RNA
Source: RNAcentral